CAUGUACUCCCUCCAUCCGAAAAUACUUGUCAUUGAAAUGGAUGUAUCUAGAUGUAUUUUAGUCCUAGACACAUCCAUUUUGAUGACAAGUAAUUCCGGACGGAGGGAGUACUUG
Triticum aestivum (bread wheat) is the source of this 115-nucleotide non-coding RNA. The record is from Rfam. Lineage: Eukaryota; Viridiplantae; Streptophyta; Magnoliopsida; Poales; Poaceae.